UAAGCAUUUCGAAAUUCCAGCGUCUUGCCACGUGUCCACCGUUGUGAGCUUCCUCACUCUCUCCAUCCAUCUCCCGCCAUUCUCUCUCUCCCUCUCACCGAAUCAAACUCUCUCUCUCUCUCUCUCUCUGUCUCUCUCUCUCCCUCUCUCUCUCUCUGUCUCUGUUAACCAAAAUGAUCUCUGCAAUUUCAUGAACCAAAGUUGAUUGUUCGAUGAAGCAAUCUGGCUAUGUUUCUUGUUUGAUUAAGCUAAUUAUUUAGAGAUGGCUAGAAAUUUAGAUUGGACGAGGCAAACACCGCCUGGAAUUUUGCUUAUAAGAAGUUUAAGAGGUAGAGAUUGGAAUCUAAAAACCUAUAGAUAUAUGGUCUUGUUGGUUACUUUCAUAGCAUAUACUUGUUAUCAUGCAUCAAGAAAACCGAGCAGCAUAGUCAAGAGUGUGUUAGAUCCUGACCCAAACACACCGCCUUCAGGUGAGUCCCCUUGGCCAAUUGGUAACAUCUUUAUCAAAGAUGAACUCAUGGGCACAAACAAAAGUAGCCACUUGAAAAAGGGUUGGCAUCCAUUUAAUGGACCAGACGGGACAUCAAAAUUGGGUGAGAUUGAUGUUGCUUUUCUUUCUUGUUACUCUUUAGGUAUGUAUGUUGCCGGGCAUUUGGGUGAUACUUUAGAUUUGAGAUUGUUUUUAACAUCUGGAAUGAUUGGCAGCGGAUUUUUUGUCGGGUUAUUUGGUAUGGGAUACUUUUGGAAGAUUCAUGUUUUUUGGUUUUAUUUGGUUAUGCAAAUGCUUGCUGGGUUAUUCCAAGCCACAGGUUGGCCUUCUGUUGUGGCUGUGAUUGGUAAUUGGUUUGGAAAAAGAAGGAGAGGAUUGAUUAUGGGUGUUUGGAACGCACAUACUUCAGUUGGUAAUAUUAGUGGGUCUCUCCUUGCUGCUAGUGUUUUAGAUUAUGGGUGGGGAUGGUCUUUUAUAGCUCCUGGUGCAUUUAUUGUAAUGGGAGGGAUAUUAGUUUUCUUGUUUUUGGCUGCUUAUCCAGAAGAUGUAGGAUUUCCUUGUGCAAAUGGGUGUGAACAAAAGGUAGAGCCUGCGUCUAGUGAUAUGGAAGCUGAGAGACAUAAAGGUAGAAAAGGUCGAGUGGACAAGAAUGAUAAUGUCCAGGCUGCAUCUACGUCUAAGAGAGGCGUGGGACUUAUUCAAGCUUGUCUCAUACCAGGAGUCAUACCAUUUGCCUUAUGUUUAUUUUUCUCCAAGCUUGUGGCUUACACAUUUUUGUAUUGGCUACCAUUUUACUUGAGCCAGACAGAAAUUGGUGGAGAGUCCAUGUCUGUGAAGUCCGCUGGAAACCUGUCUACUCUAUUUGAUGUUGGGGGUAUUGUUGGUGGGAUCCUUGCUGGUUACGCAUCUGAUAAACUUAAAGCUCGGGCUAUUACAGCAGCCAGUUUUAUGUAUGCCGCAAUUCCUUCAAUGUUCUUAUACCGCGCAUAUGGUAGUGUCUCAAAGACUAUGAACAUUAUACUUAUGAUGAUUGCUGGCUUAUUUGUAAAUGGGCCAUAUGCACUCAUCACAACUGCAGUUUCUGCUGACCUAGGCACACACAGUUCUCUUAAGGGGGAUUCUCGAGCACUGGCUACUGUCACUGCCAUUAUUGAUGGUACUGGAUCAAUGGGUGCAGCUCUUGGUCCGCUUUUCACUGGGUUCCUCUCAACAAUGGGAUGGGAUGCAGUUUUUAUCAUGCUGAUGACUGGGGCUCUUGUUGCGGGGCUUCUCUUAUCACGUCAGGUCAUAACUGAAAUUUCUGAGAAAACUAGUAUACUGAGGCAGUCACCCAGCGGACGUUUAAUUCAUGAAGCUCCUGCAUCCCAACCACUUUUAAGUGAUCAAAGGUGAAUAUCAGGCGAGGCGUCGUGAAGAUUUAUUAGAAGUGAGAGAAUCAAGAUAAAAAUUCAAAGGUGUUGGAAAUGACAUGUCGUUUGCAGUAGUUUGAGGGGGAGGUUGGAUUUUUUUUUUUUCCUCUUUUGGGUGCAUAAUUAGCCCCUUUGGACUUGAAUGUCUGAAACUCAAGGCACCUUGAAAAUACUCUUUGCCUUAUUGGUUAGUAUCUUCCACAAAUAUGGCCUUUUCAGACAACCUGCAACAAGCUGUUUUGUUGUCUAGAAUUUGAAACAAAAUAUUGACAUCUGUUCCUUAUGUAAGAUUCUGAUUUUUUCCCCCCUCAAAUUUAGAACAUGCGAACAUAACUUCA
Molecule: RNA transcript, 2237 nt
Organism: Jatropha curcas
Lineage: Eukaryota; Viridiplantae; Streptophyta; Magnoliopsida; Malpighiales; Euphorbiaceae
Gene: G3PP4
Gene name: Major facilitator superfamily protein
Source: RefSeq, a predicted model, not a curated record